UGGAAUCGGGAUUCGAACCUGGAACCCUCCGGCCCCCAAAGCCGAGACCCUACCACUAGGCCACC
Molecule: non-coding RNA, 65 nt
Organism: Araneus ventricosus
Lineage: Eukaryota; Metazoa; Arthropoda; Arachnida; Araneae; Araneidae
Source: the annotation of a GenBank genome assembly